This 527-nucleotide long non-coding RNA is filed under the name Gallus gallus (chicken). RNAcentral describes it as "lncRNA (ENSGALG00010019131.1)". Lineage: Eukaryota; Metazoa; Chordata; Aves; Galliformes; Phasianidae. The record is from RNAcentral.
AAAAAAAAAAGAAAAGAAAAAAGCAAGGAAGAAAAAGAGAAAAAUAGAGUAAAAAAACAACACCCGAGAGAUGGAGAGGAGGUGAUAUUUGAGAGAGUAUUUAAGGGAAAAAAGUGUGGAAUGAGGAGCGUGUUGUGGAAGGGAGGCGCGGAGCGGAGGGGUCCCGGCGGGCGCUCGGGGGGCACAGAGGAUGCUCUCCGUUGUCAUCCUCCCUUCGGUGCUUCUGAAUACCGAUGUCAGGCAGCACCCUGUGGGCGGGGACCACCCCCAGCUCCCUUUGCUAUAAAGCACUGCGGGUUCCCCCAUUGCGGGGAGCGCAGCGGGACGGGGCGGCGGGCAGCACCCCGAAUCGGGCCGGGCUUCCAGGUGCGGGCCGAAGGUGCGGACGGCGGAGGAGAAAGGAGGAGAAAGAAGAAGGAGGAGGAGGAGGAGGAGGAGGAGGAUGAGGCCGAGGAGAGCGGCGUGACCGAGCGGCGGGCUGCGGGCCAAGGCUCGCACGCUCCAACGCCGCGUCCGCCCGGCCCGCC